CGAGCGCACUCUUCGGAGUGAGCGGCGGACGGGUUAGUAACGCGUGGGAACGUGCCCUUCUCUAAGGAAUAGCCACUGGAAACGGUGAGUAAUACCUUAUACGCCCUUCGGGGGAAAGAUUUAUCGGAGAAGGAUCGGCCCGCGUUAGAUUAGAUAGUUGGUGGGGUAAUGGCCUACCAAGUCUACGAUCUAUAGCUGGUUUUAGAGGAUGAUCAGCAACACUGGGACUGAGACACGGCCCAG
RNAcentral lists this ribosomal RNA (243 nucleotides) under uncultured bacterium. RNAcentral describes it as "partial 16S ribosomal RNA". It matches the Rfam family "Bacterial small subunit ribosomal RNA", at positions 63 to 334 of the family's 1533-position model. The record is from RNAcentral.